GAUGAACGCUGGCGGCGUGCCUAAUACAUGCAAGUCGAGCGAACAGACGAGGAGCUUGCUCCUCUGACGUUAGCGGCGGACGGGUGAGUAACACGUGGAUAACCUACCUAUAAGACUGGGAUAACUUCGGGAAACUGGAGCUAAUACCGGAUAACAUGUUGAACCGCAUGGUUCAACAGUGAAAGACGGUCUUGCUGUCACUUAUAGAUGGAUCCGCGCCGCAUUAGCUAGUUGGUAAGGUAACGGCUUACCAAGGCAACGAUGCGUAGCCGACCUGAGAGGGUGAUCGGCCACACUGGAACUGAGACACGGUCCAGACUCCUACGGGAGGCAGCAGUAGGGAAUCUUCCGCAAUGGGCGAAAUCCUGACGGAGCAACGCCGCGUGAGUGAAGAAGGUCUUCGGAUCGUAAAACUCUGUUAUUAGGGAAGAACAAAUGUGUAAGUAACUAUGCACGUCUUGACGGUACCUAAUCAGAAAGCCACGGCUAACUACGUG
Molecule: ribosomal RNA, 497 nt
Filed under: uncultured bacterium
Lineage: Bacteria
Description: partial 16S ribosomal RNA
Rfam family: Bacterial small subunit ribosomal RNA
Source: RNAcentral